CGGACGGGUGAGUAAUGUCUGGGAAACUGCCUGAUGGAGGGGGGUAACUACUGGAAACGGUAGCUAAUACCGCAUAACGUCGCAAGACCAAAGAGGGGGACCUUAGGGCCUCUUGCCAUCGGAUGUGCCCAGAUGGGAUUAGCUGUGGUGGGGUAACGGCUCACCAGGCGACGAUCCCUAGCUGGUCUGAGAGGAUGACCAGCCACACUGGAACUGAGACACGGUCCAG
Molecule: ribosomal RNA, 229 nt
Filed under: uncultured bacterium
Lineage: Bacteria
Description: partial 16S ribosomal RNA
Rfam family: Bacterial small subunit ribosomal RNA
Source: RNAcentral